Molecule: ribosomal RNA, 376 nt
Filed under: uncultured bacterium
Lineage: Bacteria
Description: bacterial SSU rRNA
Rfam family: Bacterial small subunit ribosomal RNA
Source: RNAcentral
AACGUAGGAGGCGAGCGUUAUCCGGAUUUACUGGGCGUAAAGCGCGUGUAGGCGGUUUCAUAAGUCGUGCGUGAAAGCUCCCUGGCUCAACCGGGAGAGGUCGUGCGAUACUGCGAAACUUGAGUCAGACAGAGGCAAGUAGAAUUCCGGGUGUAGUGGUGAAAUGCGUAGAUAUCCGGAGGAAUACCAGUGGCGAAGGCGACUUGCUGGGUCUGUACUGACGCUCAGACGCGAAAGCAUGGGGAGCGAACGGGAUUAGAAACCCCGGUAGUCCAUGCUGUAAACGAUGUCAACUAGGCGUUGGGGGCUAGAUGCCCUCAGUGCCGAAGCCAACGCGAUAAGUUGACCGCCUGGGGACUACGGCCGCAAGGCUAAA